CUGUGGUGGUAUACAGAUGUCUAUGGAGAAAGGGUAGUGAACUAGUGUCAGUAUAUCUGAGGGACUCAGACAAAUUUAGGAGGAAAGGCUGAGAUGGUUUGGACAUGUGUAGAGGAAGGAUAGUGGAUAUACUGGAGUAAUCAUUUGUUCCAAGCGAUUGGAGCCUCGGUGGAUCCACUCCUUAAGAUCAUCAUCCUAAACAUGAAAUGAACACUACAGGGACCUCUGCCAUGAAACCAGGCACGAACUGGUCGUCUUUGCUCUGGACCACCACACGCGCACCGACAAACAACUCAUUCACCUUUGGCAUGUGUUCAAAGGCAAUGUGGUGACCAGACACUAGGCUCCUCCCCUUCU
Long non-coding RNA from Oreochromis niloticus (Nile tilapia), 357 nucleotides. RefSeq lists it as uncharacterized. The transcript is spliced from 3 exons. The record is from RefSeq and is a predicted model, not a curated record. Lineage: Eukaryota; Metazoa; Chordata; Actinopteri; Cichliformes; Cichlidae.